Oncorhynchus mykiss (rainbow trout) is the source of this 1021-nucleotide long non-coding RNA. RefSeq lists it as uncharacterized. Lineage: Eukaryota; Metazoa; Chordata; Actinopteri; Salmoniformes; Salmonidae. The record is from RefSeq and is a predicted model, not a curated record.
CAGGGAGAUACUGAUGGAGACAGUCUGAUUUCAAGGGAACCUGUAGAUUGUAGAAGUUAUGAUUGUGAAAAAGUCCAAAAGAGAGCGCACAGGCCACCUCUUCUUUACUCUUCACGCUCAGUAGAGGCUCCAGCACCGCACACAAAGUCCGGUAGUUAUUGGUAACAUACUCGGCAAACUCCUUGUACAGCUCCAUGGGCAGGAUGCUCAUGGUCUGGUAACGGGACUUGAGGCGUAGGGAGGCAUUGAUGAUCUUGCCCCCUGCUUGCCCCUUGGCCAGGAUGCUAGGCUGGAUGACCGGGUACCACUGCUCCACAAACUGUCGGCCCGUGAUGCUGGAGAUAGGGAUACUGACCAGUCCCAGUCUCCUUGUAGAGAUGAAGGCGUAGGUUGCGGACGGCUGGCAAGUUGUUGAACUCAAAGUGCUCACCCCAGAACACGGUGUCAGUCCGGGGCUUGCUGGUGGUGCGUGCGUAAAGCAUGUCGUCCAGACAAAGUUCGCAGUAGUAGCGCUUCUUGGCGGGAAGCUCCCGCGCCUCGAUGAUCCAGAGUUUCAGCACGUUGUCCACCCUCCGACUGUUGUCCUGAAGAGGGGCAAAGAGAGGGUGGCAAAGGGACAAGGCAGAACAGGGAGGAACGAAAACCAAAGGGAAAAAGACCAAAGAGAAAAAGAAAGCCAAAGAGAGAGGGAGGGUUGGGUAGGUUAAGAACAGUGGUGUAAAGUACUUAAGUUGUUUUUUGGGGUAUCUGUACUUUACUAUUCAUAUUUUUUGCAACUUUUACUUUACAUUCCAAAAGAAAAUAAUGUACUUUUUAAUCCAUACAUUUUCCCUGACACCCAAAAGUACUCGUUACAUUUUGACAGGAAAAUGGUCCAAUUCACACACUUAUCAAGAGAACAUCCCUGGUCAUCCCUACUGCUUCUGAUCUGGCGGACUCACUAAACACAAACGCUUCGUUUGUAAAUUAUGUCUGAGUGUUGGAGUACACCCCUGGCUAUUCGUCAAUAAAAAUUUAAAAA